UUAAGCAACUAUAAUAUAAAAUUCUAUACACAUAGGCAGUGAGAAAAAACUUUUAUGGUCUGAAACAAUUUUCAUGCUAUAUGUCAUAAUAGAAGGUCUUCUAGAAUCCAUGUAUGCCCAACAAAAGCCACUGAAGGGAAGCUUACCAGAGUGCCAUCGAGUUCCUUCCCCUAAGGAUCAGACUUCCAGACUCAAGGUCUCUCCUGAGCACACGGCUUCAUAAACCAGCUGCACAAGCAACUGCAUCUGGGGAUCUGCUUCAAGAGAAACUUAACUAAAGCAAGAAUGGGCUCUAACUUCAGGAUACCUAGGAUUCUAACCUCGUUCCAUUACUUACCAACGAUAUGACCUGGGAAAAAUUAUAUACCUGCUGUGUCUCCAAAGUCUUCAGGCAGAGGCAACAACCACCAGGCAAACUUGAAGAGUUCUUGAACUACUUUUGAGGUUCCUCCUCAAUUUCACAGAUAUACCCUCCUCAGACUCCAGCCCCCAGUAUCUAAUGCCUGGAGCCUGAGUAGCAGGAUGGGAUUAAGUGACUUCUUGACUUGUGAACAAGAUAAAUGGAAGGUUCUGUUCAGAGGCUCUCAACUAUUUUG
This 596-nucleotide long non-coding RNA is filed under the name Homo sapiens (human). Its description in RNAcentral is "HSALNT0352983". Lineage: Eukaryota; Metazoa; Chordata; Mammalia; Primates; Hominidae. The record is from RNAcentral.